RNAcentral lists this ribosomal RNA (145 nucleotides) under Pseudoalteromonas shioyasakiensis. Its description in RNAcentral is "partial 16S ribosomal RNA". It matches the Rfam family "Bacterial small subunit ribosomal RNA", at positions 1 to 137 of the family's 1533-position model. The record is from RNAcentral. Lineage: Bacteria; Pseudomonadati; Pseudomonadota; Gammaproteobacteria; Alteromonadales; Pseudoalteromonadaceae.
UUUAAUUGAAGAGUUUGAUCAUGGCUCAGAUUGAACGCUGGCGGCAGGCCUAACACAUGCAAGUCGAGCGGAAACGAAGAGGUGCUUGCACCUUUGGCGUCGAGCGGCGGACGGGUGAGUAAUGCUUGGGAAUAUGCCUUAUGGU